UAUAUUUGGUUCUGUUUUGGAUUUUUGAAAGUUCAGUCCAGUUUGACUUGGCAAUGUGAGAUUUGGUGGACUUUUUUCCCCUCCUUAUUAGACCCCGUAACCAGUUUCCCCCCAUAACGGCAUGAAAUUUGAUACACAUUUUCCAUCAAGAGUAGACCCACCAAAUAUUUGGUUGUUUAGAUUUGUUUUUAGGGGUGCUCUUGAGCUUGGCAUAGCGAAUUUUGUUGAGACUCGAAUGAAUUGAUUGUGAAUGAAACCCAGGGUGGAGUGGAAAUGAAAUUCACCUUCAUCCAUUAAGACACUUUAGGUCACAGUUCCUUCGGGCGUCUACCGGCUGCCCCCCGCAAUCAAAUACCUCGAAAUAGGAUGGACUCCAAAUUAGGAAAUGUUUGAGAAACAUUUCAAGCGUAUAUUACACACACACACACACACACAUAUACACACAUAGCUACAAUUACCUCGGUGGUCCAAAGACAGGCUUUUUUGUGUCAUAUUUGAAGCUACAACCGUUAAAGCUUAAAAGAUGGAUCCGUUUACAUUUGAAAUGUUUCAUACUUCGGUGUAAAAAAAAAAAAAAAAAAAAAAUGGCGGUGGAAGCGCUCACUUUAAAAGCGCACUCACUUUGUUCUUUGUUGCUCCUGUGAUGCAGAAGUCUAAAAAAAAAAAAAAAACUGCUUUUAACGUAAAAGAGCCAUUGAGAGGAAGUGAAAGUUGGUGGGAAAACUUUGACAAAUCAUUGAUUUCUAUCAGGAUUUUAUAAAUAUAUAUACAUAUAUUAUAAAAAAAAAAAAAAUGAAUGUUUGGUUGUGUUUCGGGGCUUCUCAAUGUUGGUUGCUCUUCUCACGGCACAAAAUAAUUUUAACCAUUUUUUUUUAGUCAAACUAAAACUGAAUCAUGAAAUUGUACAACCACCCCUCAAAGAGUUUUUGACUAAGUCAAAAAAAAAAAAGGUGAUAAUGUGACGUUAUCACGUAAAUAUUUAUUGCAAUUUGAUCUCUAUGCACACUUAAAUUUGCACAUCCUGUUUCUUAGAGCGAGAUGUCGUUGUCCCCCCUCAAGUAUUUGGCCUCUUUUUAGUUUUAAUUUUUUGGGUUCCCCCCCUUCGGCGCAGCUCCUCGCCAAACUUGAAUCCAAAUUGUUUUCGUAGACCUCAUUCAAAAGAUUUGACAUGAAAUGUCCCUGAAAUGCGGCAAAGAUGAGGAGUGAGCACGAGCACUCGUGGAAUAAGCUAAAAUGUCCACUUUGAACGCCAAACCUCUGGUGCUUUUUUUUUUUUCUUUUUGUCAAUGUUGUUUGUGUUCUCUCUCUCUGGACAUAUUUACCUCAUUUUGCCAGCUGCCAACAAGACGCAGGCAGCGCACUGCUCAGUCCACUUAAGUGUUUUUGAAAUUUAUUUUUUGUUUUUGUUGGAUUUCUCCUCAGCGGCAGAAGUGGUUGUGAUGCAUUCAAGGACCCGUGUACAGUACUGUAACAUGUCGGCGCUUUGUGACGUACUGUGUGAUGCUUUUUCUGUUCUUUUUUUCUUCUUCUGGGAUCUUUUCUAGAGGAAAUCCUCUGACGAGCAGUGGCGGUUUUAUAAACUUGUCAUCCUUAAAAAAAGAAAGCUGAAAAAGAAAAUGCAAGCUGAUUUUUUUGUGUACGACAAAGGCUAAGAGGCAUGAUUUUAACCUUUUUCUGACAACUUGUAGAUGUUGUAGUUGAUGACUUUAAUUGAAUUUGAAAACUGAGUGAUUUCAAGGAUUUCUUUCUCCAAUUAAACGUCUUCUAUGACUGAUUUCGCUCCCUGUUAUUUUUUUCGUUUGUGUGACUUGGACAAAAAAAAUAUUAUUUUUGGGGGGGCGUUGUAGAAAACAACCGCAUUUUAUUUUAAUUAACCUGAAUUGUCAAUGAAUAUUUCAGCCUCUAAUCUUGACCUUCUCCCCGAAGCUGUCCAGAUCUGAAAUGUAAAGCGUCACAACGGCGCCCUCUUCAGGUGUCUGGUAGUCAGUACAGCGUUUGACAAACCAGAAUUUUAAAGGCAAGCUGUUGGAAAGCAUCAUUAAUGUGGAUUUCAGUCGAUGGCAGUAAAUGCUUCUCUUCCAUCGACCAAUUAUUAUUAUUUUUUUUGCUUUGCUGUCAAUGUGAACAGUAUCACCAUUUCUAACAAGUUAAUUUAUUCCCAAUUUGAACAUUUGUCAAGAAAAAAGCAGAGCCUAUGGAGUGCCACACCAUGUUUGAACUUUUGUUUUUGUCUUAGUCCAUCUGCUGGCGGCCAACAUCUGUCACGUUUUUUUUUUUUUUUUUUUUACUCCCGGCGUGCUGAGGUUCGAGCCGGGGGCCUUUUGUGAGUGGCGCCAUUGUGUGGGCGUCCAUUGUGUGUGUGUGUUUGUGAGAAAUGAUUUGCAGACAUUUGGGCUUCCUCUGAGCAUUUUGCAAACUUUCAACUGCCUGAAAAUUGUCUCUAUGUAUUUCAUACAUUAUGACAUGCUUAUUACGUGAAAAAUAAUUUGCAAUUUUGUCCAUUUCAGUCAACUAGCAUUUGUGAAGCGCUAAGGAGCGUCGGACCCAAUUCUGCUAACAGAUGUGAAGCACCGCUCACAAGUAAGCUGUAAGUUCUCUCGUUGAAGUUUCUUCCCGUUUGAGAAGCUGGACCAUUGUUGGUGUUAAAUGUAGCAGCGGGAGCGACAUUGUCUUGAAUGAAUAGACCCCCCCACACACACACACACACGCUCACACUUUUCUGUCUCCAAGGAGACACUUUAGAGUCGGGGUGGCAGCCAACAGUGCAUCCAUUGAAAUGGCCGCCGCGGGGUUGACAACAGAUUGAGGCCGCACCACACCACACCAGCGGAGCACGUUUAGUCUCUUUUUAUUAUUUGCAAAAAUAGUCUUGGCUAAUUCCUUCAUUGACAAACAGCAGAAGAAUAAAAUGUACAGCACAAUUCCUCUUAAAUAACUUUUUUUUUUUUCAUUCCCAUUGACCUGAAGUGCCUUUGCAAAUAUCAUCAUCCGUCAAAAGAAAGCAACUUAAAUAAUCCUGACAAACAAGCACAAAUAUACAAUACAAAAUAAGAAUAACACAGAAUGCUUAAAUUAACUUAAAUUAAAUCAGAAUAAAAUCAUAAUUUUUUUUUUCUUUUCUAUUUUACAAAAAGAGGACAAUCGGUUUCGAGGAAGAAGAGGACAAUGCUUUUGUCACUGGCGUAUUAGAGGGCAAAAAAAUUCAUAAAAGGUCAUAUAGCAACCACCUUUUUUUUCUUUUCUUUUUUUACGAAGAGGCCAUUAUGGCCAAACAUCCGCUGUUUGAUGCGGUUCCUGGGUCUGAGAAAAAGGCCUGGGUGCAAACAUUGCAAAAAACAAAA
Molecule: long non-coding RNA, 3341 nt
Organism: Syngnathus acus (greater pipefish)
Lineage: Eukaryota; Metazoa; Chordata; Actinopteri; Syngnathiformes; Syngnathidae
Exons: 2
Source: RefSeq, a predicted model, not a curated record